UAGGGAAUCUUCGGCAAUGGACGGAAGCCUGACCGAGCAACGCCGCGUGAGUGAAGAAGGUUUUCGGACCGUAAAGCUCUGUUGUUAGAGAAGAACGUUGGUAGGAGUGGAAAAUCUACCAAGUGACGGUAACUAACCAGAAAGGGACGGCUAACUACGUGCCAGCAGCCGCGGUAAUACGUAGGUCCCGAGCGUUGUUCGGAUUUAUUGGGCGUAAAGCGAGCGCAGGCGGUUCUUUAAGUCUGAAGUUAAAGGCAGUGGCUUAACCAAUGUACGCUUUGGAGACUGGAGGACUUGAGUGCAGAAGGGGAGAGAGGAAUUGCGUGUGUAGCGGUGAAGUGCGUAGUUAUAUGGAGGAACACCGGUGGCGAAAGCGGCUCUCUGGUCUGUAACUGACGCUGAGGCACGAAAGCGUGGGGAGCAAACAGG
This 429-nucleotide ribosomal RNA is filed under the name Bacillota bacterium. Its description in RNAcentral is "Firmicutes bacterium partial 16S ribosomal RNA". It matches the Rfam family "Bacterial small subunit ribosomal RNA", at positions 355 to 776 of the family's 1533-position model. The record is from RNAcentral. Lineage: Bacteria; Bacillati; Bacillota.